This 236-nucleotide ribosomal RNA is filed under the name uncultured bacterium. RNAcentral describes it as "partial 16S ribosomal RNA". It matches the Rfam family "Bacterial small subunit ribosomal RNA", at positions 118 to 351 of the family's 1533-position model. The record is from RNAcentral.
UGAGCAAUCUGCCCUUCUCUUCGGAAUAAGCGUUGGAAACGACGUCUAAUGCCGAAUACGACCUCCUUUCGCAUGAUCGGAGGUGGAAAGCUCCGGCGGAGAAGGAUGAGCUCGCGGCCUAUCAGCUAGUUGGUGUGGGUAAUGGCCCACCAAGGCGACGACGGGUAGCCGGCCUGAGAGGGUGACCGGCCACACUGGGACUGAGACACCGGCCCAGACCUCCGUACGGGAGGNAG